This 468-nucleotide ribosomal RNA is filed under the name uncultured bacterium. Its description in RNAcentral is "bacterial SSU rRNA". It matches the Rfam family "Bacterial small subunit ribosomal RNA", at positions 28 to 493 of the family's 1533-position model. The record is from RNAcentral.
GAUGAACGCUAGCGGCAGGCCUAAUACAUGCAAGACGAACGGUAAGUUGAGUAGCAAUACUUAGCCAAGAGUGUCGUACGGGUGCGUAACACGUAUGCAACCUACCCUAUACAGGAGGAUAGCCUAGGGAAACCUGGAUUAACCCUUCAUAGUAUUAUUGGAUGGCAUCAUUUGAUAAUUAAAACUGAGGUGGUAUAGGAUGGGCAUGCGUCUGAUUAGUUAGUUGGCGGGGUAAUGGCCCACCAAGACGAUGAUCAGUAGGGGUUCUGAGAGGAAGAUCCCCCACACUGGCACUGAGAUACGGGCCAGACUCCUACGGGAGGCAGCAGUAGGGAAUAUUGGUCAAUGGAUGCAAGUCUGACCAGCCAUGCCGCGUGCAGGAAGAAGGCCUUCUGGGUUGUAAACUGCUUUUGAACGGGAGAAAUCUAUUUACGUGUAAAUAGUUGACGGUACCGUUAGAAUAAGGAU